RNAcentral lists this non-coding RNA (868 nucleotides) under Oedalechilus labiosus (hornlip mullet). RNAcentral describes it as "partial 12S rRNA". It matches the Rfam family "Bacterial small subunit ribosomal RNA", at positions 307 to 1505 of the family's 1533-position model. The record is from RNAcentral. Lineage: Eukaryota; Metazoa; Chordata; Actinopteri; Mugiliformes; Mugilidae.
ACCCCCGUGAGAAUGCCCCACAGUUCCCCUUCCCGGGAACAAGGAGCUGGUAUCAGGCACAUUUUAAUUAUCGCCCACGACACCUUGCUCAGCCACACCCCCAAGGGAAUUCAGCAGUGAUAAACAUUAAGCUAUAAGUGAAAACUUGACUUAGUUACAGCUAUAAGGGCCGGUAAAACUCGUGCCAGCCACCGCGGUUAUACGAGAGGCCCAAGUUGAUAGACAUCGGCGUAAAGAGUGGUUAAGUAACCCCUCCCCACUAAAGCCGAACGCCUCCAAGACUGUAAUACGUGUUCGGAGGUAUGAAGCCCAACUACGAAAGUGGCUUUAAAAAAACUGACCCCACGAAAGCUGAGAAACAAACUGGGAUUAGAUACCCCACUAUGCUCAGCCCUAAACUUUGAUAGUUCAAUUACACUCGCUAUCCGCCCGGGUACUACGAGCUCCGGCUUAAAACCCAAAGGACUUGGCGGUGCUUAAGAUCCACCUAGAGGAGCCUGUUCUAGAACCGAUACUCCCCGUUAAACCUCACCCUUUCUUGUUCUUACCGCCUAUAUACCGCCGUCGUCAGCUUACCCUGUGAAGGACUAGUAGUAAGCAAAAUUGGUACGGCCCAAAACGCCAGGUCGAGGUGUAGCGUAUGAAAGGGGAAGAAAUGGGCUACAUUUCCUAAACAGGAAAUACGAACAAUAAACUGAAAUGUAUAUUAGAAGGAGGAUUUAGCAGUAAAUGAAAAAUAGAGUGUUUCAUUGAAACCGGCCCUAAAGCGCGCACACACCGCCCGUCACUCUCCCCAAGAUACAGUUCUCUUAUAUUUAAUUACCCAAGUAAAUACAAGGGGAGGCAAGUCGUAACAUGGUAAGUGUAC